This 280-nucleotide non-coding RNA is filed under the name Clostridiales bacterium. Its description in RNAcentral is "T-box sequence". It matches the Rfam family "T-box leader". From Rfam's summary of the family: Uncharged tRNA acts as the effector for transcription antitermination of genes in the T-box leader family. T-boxes are found upstream of many aminoacyl-tRNA synthetase genes and some amino acid biosynthetic genes usually in Gram-positive bacteria. Lineage: Bacteria; Bacillati; Bacillota; Clostridia; Eubacteriales. The record is from RNAcentral.
UAUAAAACUUUGAUUGGAACAGUAUGUAUAUUUAGAAAAUCAAGCGAGCUAGGAUUUGGUGUGAGCCUAGUAUGAGUAUAAUAUACAAAAAAUCAUCCAGGAGUUGUUGGAGGAAUGAGGCUAGCGUGUACACGUGCUAGUGAUGAGUAAUACCAACCGCAAUCAUGCGUUAAAAGUGAAAAAGAGUGCAGUCGAAGAUUUAAAGUUUAUAGCAUGAAGUGUAAACUGUGAAUUAUAGAUUGAAUUUGGGUGGUACCACGGGUGAAAGCUCGUCCCAUAU